This 575-nucleotide long non-coding RNA is filed under the name Olea europaea (common olive). RNAcentral's name for it is "long non-coding RNA (OEUR_LNC010310)". The record is from RNAcentral. Lineage: Eukaryota; Viridiplantae; Streptophyta; Magnoliopsida; Lamiales; Oleaceae.
UUUAAGAGAAGUGGAUGGAAACAUUCCUUGAACAAAAUACACGAAAGAAACUUUAGAUUCAAAACAUCCUUAUCCUUAAUCCAUCAUCGGUUCGGCCAACUGACUCUCGUCAUUCCAACGAUCAUGGAUCUGAAAAGUUUAGCAUAACAUACUUUGAGUAUAAGGAAAUACUCAGUAAGAUACCAUGCUUGAACAUUUAUCAUGAUAAUACUACACCAAAGAAAGCAAUCAAACCCAUACUUCCAUAUUCCGACAUGCCGGUGCCCUUCGGACUUGUCCUAAGGCAUAGAUAUAUCUAACAUUUGUGGAUUUCUCCACCAUAAUCAUAACAUUUGUGGAUUUCUCCACCAUUAACAUACUUUGGUUUUUCAUGCAUAACUUAAGCAUAAAUAUUACCAUGAAAAUCAUACCACAUAAGCAUAGAAGGUAUCUUACCGUAAAACUUGAUGAUCUUUGUUUGAAAUGAAUUGAAAGUGCUAAACUUUCUUCCUUCUUCUUUCUUUUCUAAAUUUCGGUUUUUGCUCUCUUUUUAAGUGUAUAAGUGUUUUGUAAAAUGAAGGAAAUAUCUCUAUGGC